Molecule: ribosomal RNA, 800 nt
Filed under: uncultured Bacteroidota bacterium
Lineage: Bacteria; Pseudomonadati; Bacteroidota
Description: bacterial SSU rRNA
Rfam family: Bacterial small subunit ribosomal RNA
Source: RNAcentral
UGCAGUCGAGGGGUAACAUGAGAGCUUGCUCUUGAUGACGACCGGCGCACGGGUGAGUAACGCGUACAUAACCUACCUUCAAGAAGGGCAUAGCCCCGGGAAACUGGGAGUAAUACCCUAUAGUAUUACUUUUUUACAGAAGAGAGUAAUUAAAGCUACGGCGCUUGGAGAUGGGUGUGCGUCCCAUUAGCUAGUUGGUACGGUAACGGCGUACCAAGGCGACGAUGGGUAGGGGGCGUGAGAGCGUGAUCCCCCACACGGGUACUGAGACACGGACCCGACUCCUACGGGAGGCAGCAGUAAGGAAUAUUGGACAAUGGGCGAAAGCCUGAUCCAGCCAUCCCGCGUGCAGGAUGACUGCCCUAUGGGUUGUAAACUGCUUUUAGAUAGGAAGAAACCCCCUGACGAGUUGGGGGCUGACGGUACUAUCAGAAUAAGCACCGGCUAACUCCGUGCCAGCAGCCGCGGUAAUACGGAGGGUGCAAGCGUUAUCCGGAAUCACUGGGUUUAAAGGGUGCGUAGGCGGAUAGAUAAGUCAGAGGUGAAAGCCCGCAGCUUAACUGUGGAAUUGCCUUUGAUACUGUUUAUCUUGAAUGAGGUUGAGGUUAGCGGAAUGAGUCAUGUAGCGGUGAAAUGCAUAGAUAUGACUUAGAACACCAAUUGCGUAGGCAGCUAGCUAGGCCUUUAUUGACGCUGAGGCUCGAAAGCGUGGGGAGCGAACAGGAUUAGAUACCCUGGGUAGUCCACGCCCUAAACGAUGCUAACUCGAUGUUUGGGGUCAUAGACUUGAGCAUCCAAGG